CCUACGGGGGGCAGCAGUGAGGAAUAUUGGUCAAUGGACGAGAGUCUGAACCAGCCAAGUAGCGUGAAGGAUGACUGCCCUAUGGGUUGUAAACUUCUUUUAUAAAGGAAUAAAACGAGGCACGUGUGCCUUUUUGCAUGUACUUUAUGAAUAAGGAUCGGCUAACUCCGUGCUAGCAGCCGCGGUAAUACGGGGGAUCCGAGCGUUAUCCGGAUUUCUUGGGUCUAAAGGGAGCGUAGAUGGGUUGUUAAGUCAGUUGUGAAAGUUUGCGGCUCAACCGUAAAAUUGCAAUUGAUACUGGCAGUCUUGAGUACAGUGGAGGUAGGCGGAAUUCGUGGUGUAGCGGUGAAAUGCUUAGAUAUCACGAAGAACCCCGAUUGCGAAGGCAGCUUACUAAACUGUGACUGACAUUGAUGCUCGAAAGUGUGGGUAUCAAACAGGAUUAGAUACCCGGGUAGUC
RNAcentral lists this ribosomal RNA (460 nucleotides) under uncultured bacterium. RNAcentral's name for it is "partial 16S ribosomal RNA". It matches the Rfam family "Bacterial small subunit ribosomal RNA", at positions 338 to 795 of the family's 1533-position model. The record is from RNAcentral.